CACACAAAUUAGAUUGUAUAAACCCUGCGAAGUCUUGUAACAAUACUAGGCAGACGGCUCAGUAACGCGUAGUCCCUUAACCUAUGGACGGGAAUAACCUCGGGAAACUGAGUAUCCUGUCCGAUAGAACAUUAUGCCUGGAAUGGUUUAUGUUCCAAAUGAUUUAUCGCCGUAGGAUGGGACUGCGGCCUAUCAGUUUGUUGGUGAGGUAAUGGCCCACCAAGACUAUUACAGGUACGGGCUCUGAGAGGAGUAGCCCGGAGAUGGGUACUGAGACACGGACCCAGGCCCUAUUGGGGCGCAUCAGGCGACAAAACUUUGCAAUGUGCGAAAACACGACAAGGUUAAUCCGAGUGGUUUCUGCUAAAGGAACCUUUUGUCGGUCCUAGAAACACCGAAUGAUAAGGGGUGGGCAAGUUCUGGUGUCAGCCCCCGCGGUAAAACCAGCACCUCAAGUGGUCAGGAUGAUUAUUGGGGCCUAAAGCAUCCGUAGCCGGCGCUGUAAGUUUUUCAGUUAAAUCUGUACGCUCAACGUACAGGGCUGUCGGGGAAUACUGCAGCGUUAUGGAGUGGGAAAGGUAAACCGUACUCGGUAAGAAAGGGGUAAAAUUCUUUUAUCUUAUUUGAUGAACCCCUUGUGCGAACGCUGUUUUUCCAAAUAACUUUCCGACGGUGAUGGAAUGAAAGUUGGGGGAACAAACCGGAUUUAAUAACCCGGAAUAUCCACGCUAUAAAACCAAGAAAAAUAUCAUAAUGCAAUUGGCUUUGGAGGCCAAUGAUAUUUCUGCAGGGGAACCCCUUUUAUUUUGCCCCCUGGGG
RNAcentral lists this ribosomal RNA (819 nucleotides) under uncultured marine archaeon. RNAcentral's name for it is "bacterial SSU rRNA". It matches the Rfam family "Archaeal small subunit ribosomal RNA", at positions 28 to 833 of the family's 1478-position model. The record is from RNAcentral.